GCUCAGAUCAAAACAGUUAAAAUGCCAAACAAAUACAAAGUUGAAGAGCAUUGAGGACCCAAAAAUUCCUAAAAGUUGUGCCAAAUACGGCUAAGGUAAUCUACUCCUGGGCGUAAGAAAAUCCUUAGUUUUUCGAAAAAAUUAAAAGUUUUGUAAACAGAAAAUUUAUAGAAAUGACCAUAUAAUUGAUAUUCAUGUCAACACCGAGGUGCUGACUACUGGGCUGGUGAUACCCUCGGGGACGAAACGUCCACCAGCAGUGGCAUCGACCCAGUGGUGUAAAUAGUUAUCAAAGUUACCAGGAUUAUAA
Molecule: long non-coding RNA, 310 nt
Filed under: Mytilus galloprovincialis (Mediterranean mussel)
Lineage: Eukaryota; Metazoa; Mollusca; Bivalvia; Mytilida; Mytilidae
Source: RNAcentral